RNAcentral lists this ribosomal RNA (402 nucleotides) under bacterium. RNAcentral describes it as "partial 16S ribosomal RNA". It matches the Rfam family "Bacterial small subunit ribosomal RNA", at positions 355 to 776 of the family's 1533-position model. The record is from RNAcentral.
UGGGGAAUUUUGCACAAUGGGGGAAACCCUGAUGCAGCGACGCCGCGUGAUUUAGAAGGCCUUCGGGUUGUAAAAAUCUUUUCUAUGGGAAGAAAAUGACAGUACCAUAGGAAUAAGGACCGGCUAAUUACGUGCCAGCAGCCGCGGUAAUACGUAAGGUCCGAGCGUUGUCCGGAAUCAUUGGGCGUAAAGGGUACGUAGGCGGGUAAGCAAGUUAGAAGUGAAAUCCUAUAGCUCAACUAUAGUAAGCUUUUAAAACUGCUCAUCUUGAGGUAUGGAAGGGAAAGUGGAAUUCCUAGUGUAGCGGUGAAAUGCGCAGAAAUUAGGAGGAAUACCGGUGGCGAAGGCGACUUUCUGGCCAUAACCUGACGCUGAGGUACGAAAGCGUGGGUAGCAAACAGG